GAGGCAAAUUUCCCCCGUACGUUCGCAAUAAGGGGGGCCUCUGGCGGUUAGCUUAGGCAAAGCUGCUGGAGGCCGCAGAGAAAUGGCUCUUCCAACUGUUUAACAAAAACACAGGUCUCUGCUAAGUCGAAAGACGAAGUAUAGGGGCUGACGCCUGCCCAGUGCUGGAAGGUUAAGGGGAGAGGUUAGGGGUAACCCGAAGCUUUGAGCCGAAGCCCCAGUGAACGGCGGCCGUAACUAUAACGGUCCUAAGGUAGCGAAAUUCCUUGUCGGGUAAGUUCCGACCCGCACGAAUGGCGUAAUGAGAGGAGCACUGUCUCAACGAGGGACUCGGCGAACAUUGAAGGACGUGUGAAGAUACACGUGACCCGCAGCGGGACAAAAAGACCCCGUGAAGCUUUACUACAACUUGCCAUUGAGUUAGGGCUAAACCUGUGUAGCAUAGGUGGGAGGCUUUGAAGCUGGGACGCCAGUCUCGGUGGAGCCACCGUUGAAAUACCACCCUGGUUUAUUCUUGGCUCUAACCUGUCGCCGUUAUCCGGCAUGGGAACAGUGGCUGGUGGGUAGUUUGACUGGGGCGGUCGCCUCCGAAAGCGUAGCAGAGGCGCCCAAAGGUUCCCUCAGGCUGAAUGGAAACCAGCCGUUGAGUGUAAAGGCACAAGGGAGCUUGACUGCAAGACCUACAAGUCGCGCAGGGACGAAAGUCGGGCUUAGUGAUCCCACGGUUCAGAGUGGAAUGGCCGUGGCUUACCGGAUAAAAGCUACUCCGGGGAUAACAGGGUAGUCUGGUCCAAGAGUUCAUAUCGACGACCAGGUUCGCCACCUCGAUGUCGGCUCAUCACAUCCUGGGGCUGGAUAGGGUCCCAAGGGUUGGGCUGUUCGCCCAUUAAAGUGGUACGUGAGCUGGGUUCAGACCGUCGUGAGACAGGUCGGUCUCUAUCCGCUGUGGGCGUAAGGGAUUUGAGAGAAGCUGCCCCUAGUACGAGAGGACCGGGGUGGACGGACCUCUAGUGUGCCAGUUGUUCUGCCAAGAGCAUUGCUGGGUAGCUACGUCCGGCAGAGAUAACCGCUGAAAGCAUCUAAGUGGGAAACUCGUCUCAAGAUUAGAUCCCUCCUCUUUAUGAGAUAAGACCGCUGGAAGACUACCAGCUUGAUAGGCGGCAGGUGUAAGCAUAGUAAUAUGUUCAGCUUAGCCGUACUAAUGGUCGA
RNAcentral lists this ribosomal RNA (1209 nucleotides) under metagenome. RNAcentral's name for it is "bacterial LSU rRNA". It matches the Rfam family "Bacterial large subunit ribosomal RNA", at positions 1714 to 2912 of the family's 2925-position model. The record is from RNAcentral.